RNAcentral lists this ribosomal RNA (499 nucleotides) under uncultured bacterium. RNAcentral's name for it is "bacterial SSU rRNA". It matches the Rfam family "Bacterial small subunit ribosomal RNA", at positions 28 to 526 of the family's 1533-position model. The record is from RNAcentral.
GAUGAACGCUAGCGAUAGGCUUAACACAUGCAAGUCGAGGGGCAGCAAGUCUUCGGACGUUGGCGACCGGCGCACGGGUGAGUAACGCGUAUGCAACCUACCUUCUACUGGGGGAUAGCCUCUCGAAAGAGAGAUUAAUACCGCAUAAUACAGGGGCACCGCAUGGUGAUAUUUGUUAAAGAAUUUUGGUAGAAGAUGGGCAUGCGUAACAUUAGCUUGUUGGUGAGGUAACGGCUCACCAAGGCCACGAUGUUUAGGGGUUCUGAGAGGAAGGUCCCCCACACUGGUACUGAGACACGGACCAGACUCCUACGGGAGGCAGCAGUGAGGAAUAUUGGUCAAUGGACGGAAGUCUGAACCAGCCAAGUCGCGUGAAGGACGAAGGUAUUAUGUAUUGUAAACUUCUUUUAUAUGGGAAUAAAGAGUGGCUCGUGAGCCAUAUUGCAUGUACCAUAUGAAUAAGGAUCGGCUAACUCCGUGCCAGCAGCCGCAGUAACAC